RNAcentral lists this long non-coding RNA (565 nucleotides) under Musa acuminata (dwarf banana). Its description in RNAcentral is "long non-coding RNA (MACU_LNC006248)". Lineage: Eukaryota; Viridiplantae; Streptophyta; Magnoliopsida; Zingiberales; Musaceae. The record is from RNAcentral.
UAAAAUAAUAUCAGUUGUUGUAUAUAUAUGUUGUCGCAAUUUAAAGAACGGGGUGAGAUCAAGAUCAGCUUAAUGAACUUUCAAUUACAUGCAACAAAGCUUGGACCUAAAUCAUGCAUGACUGCCUGUAAAUAUUGAGCCACAAAAGCUCUAUAUGACAUCCAAGAUCUAGCCUGAUUAAGAAUACACAUCAGAUUAAGUGCAAUCAACUUUAGCACAUGAGCCACAAAGCUCCAUACUAAAAUGGGAUCAAGUCUUGCAAAACACGACAUUAUAAGCACCUCACAGCAUUAAGGAGAGAAAUCAUAGGCCACAUAACCAUCCAACAAAUACAGAAACAGACUCAAAAUACAAGAGACUAGUUAGAUUAGCACCUUUAAAUUCCUAUAGAACCAAUGUUCAUAUCAUAUUGAUGGGUAAUUAACUGCUUAAGAAACAUUAUCUAAACUUAAUUCAUGUGGACAAUUGGAUCCAUGCCAUAAGCAUCUACAUUUACUUUCUCCGCUAUAAAACCAAAUAAAGAUGGACCAUAGCGACUAGACCGAUGAGAGCGAAAGUGGAACUC